GGUCAAGUUAUUAAGGGUGCAGGGCGGAUGCCUUGGCACUAGGAGCCGAUGAAGGACGUGAUAAGCUGCGAUAAGCUUCGGGGAGUUGCACGUAAACUUUGAUCCGAAGAUUUCCGAAUGAGGAAACUCACUUAGAGUAAUGUCUAAGUAUCGUUAAGUGAAUACAUAGCUUAGCGAGGGGAACCCGGGGAACUGAAACAUCUAAGUACCCGGAGGAAGAGAAAGAAAUUCGAUUCCGUAAGUAGCGGCGAGCGAACGCGGAACAGGCCAAACCAAUGAAGUUUACUUCGUUGGGGUUGCGGACAUACAACAUGGAUGCAAUAUCGUAAAUGAAGAGAGUUGGAAAGCUCCGCCAUAGAAGGUAAUAGCCCUGUAGUUGAAACGAGAAAGCUACUAGUAUGAUCCAGAGUACCACGGGACACGUGAAACCCUGUGGGAAGCAGGAGGGACCAUCCUCCAAGCCUAAAUACUACCUAGUGACCGAUAGCGCAUAGUACCGUGAGGGAAAGGUGAAAAGAACCCCGGGAGGGGAGUGAAAUAGAACCUGAAACCCUGCACUUACAAGCUGUGGGAGCACAUUACUUGUGUGACCGCGUACUUUUUGUAGAACGGGCCAACGAGUUACGUUAAGUAGCAAGGUUAAGCACUUAAGGUGUGGAGCCGUAGCGAAAGCGAGUCUUAAAUGGGCGAUUAAGUUACUUGGCGUAGACCCGAAACCGGGCGACCUAUCCAUGAGCAGGUUGAAGCGAAAGUAAAAUUUCGUGGAGGACCGAACCCACGAGCGUUGAAAAGCUCGGGGAUGACUUGUGGAUAGCGGUGAAAUUCCAAUCGAGCCCGGAGAUAGCUGGUUCUCCCCGAAAUAGCUUUAGGGCUAGCCUCAAGCGUAGAGAAACGGAGGUAGAGCACUGAAUGUCCUAGGGGGUAUUGCACUUACCGAAGACUAUCAAACUCCGAAUGCCGUUUUCUUUUACUUGGGAGUCAGACUGUGGGUGAUAAGAUUCAUAGUCAAAAGGGCAACAGCCCAGAUCGUCAGCUAAGGUCCCUAAAUGUACGUUAAGUGGUAAAGGAUGUGGGAUUGCACAGACAACCAGGAUGUUGGCUUAGAAGCAGCCACUCAUUUAAAGAGUGCGUAAUAGCUCACUGGUCGAGUGAUCCUGCGCCGAAAAUUUCCGGGGCUAAAACGUACUACCGAAGCUACGGCAUCAUUUAUGAUGGGUAGGGGAGCUUCGUAUGCAGGCUGAAGCAUGACCGUAAGGACAUGUGGACAGUAUACGAGUGAGAAUGUUGGCAUGAGUAGCGAGACGUGGGUGAGAAUCCCACGGGCCGUAAACCCAAGGUUUCCAGGGGAAGGUUCGUCCGCCCUGGGUUAGUCGGGACCUAAGCCGAGGCCGAAAGGCGUAGGUGAUGGACAACAGGUUGAUAUUCCUGUACCGCCAAUAAGCGUUUGAGAGAUGGAGUGACACAGUAGGAUAAGCUAACCGUACUGUUGGUUAUGUACGGCUAAGCAUUGAGGCAGUCUAAAUAGGCAAAUCCGUUUAGACAAUGCUAGGAUGUGAUGGGGAAGCCCUUCGGGGCGAAGUAGCUGAUUUCACACUGUCAAGAAAAGCUUCUAUCGAGUUUAAAGGCGCCCGUACCGUAAACCGACACAGGUGGGUGAGGAGAGUAUCCUAAGGCCAGCGAGAGAACUAUUGUUAAGGAACUCGGCAAAAUGACCCCGUAACUUAGGGAGAAGGGGUGCCUGUCUAUGACAGGCCGCAGAGAAUAGGCCCAAGCGACUGUUUACCAAAAACACAGGUUUCUGCUAAGUCGCAAGACGAUGUAUAGGAGCUGACGCCUGCCCGGUGCUGGAAGGUUAAGGGGAUCUGUUAGAGCAAUCGAAGCAGUGAACUUAAGCCCCAGUAAACGGCGGCCGUAACUAUAACGGUCCUAAGGUAGCGAAAUUCCUUGUCGGGUAAGUUCCGCCCCGCACGAAAGGCGUAACGAUUUGGGCACUGUCUCAACAAUAGACUCGGUGAAAUUGUAAUCCCGGUGAAGAUGCCGGGUACCUGCGACAGGACGGAAAGACCCCAUGGAGCUUUACUGUAGCUUGAUAUUGAAGUUCGGUAUAUUAUGUAGAGAAUAGGUGGGAGACUAUGAAGUUAGGACGCUAGUUCUAAUGGAGUCACCUUUGGAAUACCACCCUUAAUGUAUUGAAUUUCUAACCUCGAUUCAUUAUCUGGAUCAGGGACAGUGUCUGGUGGGCAGUUUGACUGGGGCGGUCGCCUCCCAAAAAGUAACGGAGGCGCCCAAAGGUUCCCUCAGAAUGGUUGGACAUCAUUCAAAGAGCGUAAAGGUAUAAGGGAGCUUGACUGCGAGACCAACAAGUCGAGCAGAUACGAAAGUAGGGCUUAGUGAUCAGACGAUUCAGAAUGGAAUGGUCGUCGCUUAACGGAUAAAAGUUACCCUGGGGAUAACAGGCUGAUCUCCCCCAAGAGUCCACAUCGACGGGGAGGUUUGGCACCUCGAUGUCGGCUCAUCGCAUCCUGGGGCUGAAUUCGGUCCCAAGGGUUUGGCUGUUCGCCAAUUAAAGCGGUACGCGAGCUGGGUUCAGAACGUCGUGAGACAGUUUGGUCUCUAUCCUCUGCGCUCGUUGGAAUGCUGAGGAGGCCUGCCCAUAGUACGAGAGGACCUGGGUGGACGAACCUCUGGUAUGCCGGUUGUCACGCCAGUGGCACGGCCGGUUGGCUACGUUCGGAAGGGAUAACCGCUGAAAGCAUCUAAGCGGGAAGCCUGCUCCAAGAUAAGCAUUCCGUGGAACCUUCGAGUUCCUGUAGUCCCCAUGCAGAACACGUGGUCGAUAGGCCGGACGUGGAAGCCCCGCGAGGGGUGGAGCCGACCGGUACUAACGGACGAAAGGCAACACUAA
This 2905-nucleotide ribosomal RNA is filed under the name Bifidobacterium sp. RNAcentral's name for it is "23S ribosomal RNA". It matches the Rfam family "Bacterial large subunit ribosomal RNA". Lineage: Bacteria; Bacillati; Actinomycetota; Actinomycetes; Bifidobacteriales; Bifidobacteriaceae. The record is from RNAcentral.